AACUGAUACUACCUGCGGGAACCUGCGGAGGGAUCAUCAUUGAAAAAAAAUCUUCAAGCCCAGAAGGCUUGCAAACAACACAGAUACCCAAAAAAAGGAGCGUUUUUUCUGGAGGAGAGGGGAGAAGGUUUCUCUUCGAUCCAAAAGGAGAACGGAAUUUGCAAAAAAAAAAAGUAUUGGUGGUUGCCUGAUACAAAAGUGUUUGGAAAGAGGAAUCAUAAACAAAACAACUUUCAGCAA
RNAcentral lists this unclassified non-coding RNA (240 nucleotides) under soil metagenome. Its description in RNAcentral is "partial contains 5.8S ribosomal RNA, internal transcribed spacer 2, and large subunit ribosomal RNA". The record is from RNAcentral.